Molecule: ribosomal RNA, 484 nt
Filed under: uncultured bacterium
Lineage: Bacteria
Description: partial 16S ribosomal RNA
Rfam family: Bacterial small subunit ribosomal RNA
Source: RNAcentral
AUUGAACGCUGGCGGCAUGCUUUACACAUGCCAGUCGAACGGCAGCGCGGGCUUCGGCCUGGCGGCGAGUGGCGAACGGGUGAGUAAUACAUCGGAACGUGCCCAGUAGUGGGGGAUAGCUCGGCGAAAGCCGGAUUAAUACCGCAUACGACCUGAGGGUGAAAGCGGGGGAUCUUCGGACCUCGCGCUAUUGGAGCGGCCGAUGGCAGAUUUGCUCGUUGGUGGGGUAAAGGCCUACCAAGGCGACGAUCUGUAGCUGGUCUGAGAGGACGACCAGCCACACUGGGACUGAGACACGGCCCAGACUCCUACGGGAGGCAGCAGUGGGGAAUGUUGGACAAUGGGCGAAAGCCUGAUCCAGCAAUGCCGCGUGUGUGAUGAAGGCCUUCGGGUUGUAAAGCACUUUUGGCGGGAACGAAAAGGACUGUGCCAAUACCACGGUUGGAUGACGGUACCCGCAGAAUAAGCACCGGCUAACUACGUG